CUCCUACGGGAGGCAGCAGUGGGGAAUAUUGGACAAUGGGGGGAACCCUGAUCCAGCCAUGCCGCGUGUGUGAAGAAGGCCUUUUGGUUGUAAAGCACUUUAAGUGGGGAGGAGGCUUACUUGGUUAAUACCUGGGGUGAGUGGACGUUACCCACAGAAUAAGCACCGGCUAACUCUGUGCCAGCAGCCGCGGUAAUACAGAGGGUGCGAGCGUUAAUCGGAUUUACUGGGCGUAAAGCGCGCGUAGGUGGUUAAUUAAGUCAAAUGUGAAAUCCCCGAGCUUAACUUGGGAAUUGCAUUCGAUACUGGUUAGCUAGAGUAUGGGAGAGGAUGGUAGAAUUCCCGGUGUAGCGGUGAAAUGCGUAGAGAUCCGGAGGAAUCCCGA
Molecule: ribosomal RNA, 385 nt
Filed under: uncultured bacterium
Lineage: Bacteria
Description: bacterial SSU rRNA
Rfam family: Bacterial small subunit ribosomal RNA
Source: RNAcentral